This 253-nucleotide ribosomal RNA is filed under the name uncultured bacterium. Its description in RNAcentral is "partial 16S ribosomal RNA". It matches the Rfam family "Bacterial small subunit ribosomal RNA", at positions 524 to 776 of the family's 1533-position model. The record is from RNAcentral.
UACGGAGGAUCCAAGCGUUAUCCGGAUUUAUUGGGUUUAAAGGGUGCGUAGGCGGAUUGAUAAGUUGGAGGUGAAAUGUCCGAGCUCAACUCGGGAACUGCCUCUAAUACUGUUGAUCUAGAGAGUAGAUGCGGUAGGCGGAAUGUAUGGUGUAGCGGUGAAAUGCUUAGAGAUCAUACAGAACACCGAUUGCGAAGGCAGCUUACCAAUCUAUAUCUGACGUUGAGGCACGAAAGCGUGGGGAGCAAACAGG